GCACGAAGUUGGAAUUGCUAGUAAUCGUGGAUCAGCAUGCCACGGUGAAUACGUUCCCGGGUCUUGUACACACCGCCCGUCACACCAUGGGAGCCGGUAAUACCCGAAGUCAGUAGUCUAACCGCAAGGAGGACGCUGCCGAAGGUAGGAUUGGCGACUGGGGUGAAGUCGUAACAAGGUAGC
RNAcentral lists this ribosomal RNA (183 nucleotides) under uncultured bacterium. RNAcentral describes it as "partial 16S ribosomal RNA". It matches the Rfam family "Bacterial small subunit ribosomal RNA", at positions 1318 to 1500 of the family's 1533-position model. The record is from RNAcentral.